Long non-coding RNA from Rhododendron vialii, 411 nucleotides. RefSeq lists it as uncharacterized. The record is from RefSeq and is a predicted model, not a curated record. The transcript has 2 exons. Lineage: Eukaryota; Viridiplantae; Streptophyta; Magnoliopsida; Ericales; Ericaceae.
AUAGUCCACAUGGAGGGUUUUAUUACGUUAUCCCCAUUCAAGGUCGAUGUGUAAUUGCUGCUGUAACACAACAUUGAAUCACUGGCUGGCUCAGUCAGUUUAGGCAAUGGAUCUUUUGUUUGGGUGGAGGAUCCUGAUAGAUGGGGAAAUUGUUUAAGUCAAAGGUGAAAAGAUCAGGGUUCUUGGUACUUUAGGGAAGACAACAAGUGUUCCCCACCGCUUUUGUGUAUGGACAUCUAUUGUUUAGAAAUGCACAAUGUUCUGUUGUUUUCUUCCCUUUUUUUUGCUUGCUUGUUUGUUGGUUGAUGUUAAGUUUUAAAUUGCAGGUUGUUGUUAAGGCUACUGAAGUCUAUCCCAAGAAUUUUGAAGCACCACCAUGUGGAGUUGAUGACAUAACAAAGCUGGCCUAUU